This 1738-nucleotide long non-coding RNA is filed under the name Ricinus communis (castor bean). RNAcentral describes it as "long non-coding RNA (RCOM_LNC002528)". Lineage: Eukaryota; Viridiplantae; Streptophyta; Magnoliopsida; Malpighiales; Euphorbiaceae. The record is from RNAcentral.
CUCAAUAUAGAGGAAGGUUUAGAGGUCAUAGAUCUCCACUGCCAUGGCAAGAAAGGAUCUUCAAUGCAGGUGCACAUGAAGUACCCAGUGGUCCAAAUCCUAUUUCUAAUAGGUGAAAACAAAAAUCCCAUACCCAGGUCACCCUCCUUAUCCAUGUUUUUGGUUUGUGUUUCUUUUUUCUUCUUCUUUUUUUCUUCUUAAUUUGGGGGCUAUAAAUAUGUAUACAGAUAAUUAGCUAUUUAUUUACUUAUAUAUAUAUAGAGAGAGAGAGAGGUCUUGGUGUUGUUAUUACUGUUAUAGCAAUGUGGGAUGAGAUCACUACAGUUCAUUCUUAUUAUUAUUGUUUCUUUUCCAAACAGAACCUAUCCUUCCAAUCAUUUAACCAUGAGGAUGUAUAUGAUAAUGAUAUCUUGGAGAAUGUCUUUUCUUGAUGUUGAAUAUGGUCAUUAUUAUGCCACAUUUCCUUCUUUAUCUGCUUCUUUUAAUAAUUCUUGUAAAUUAUCCUUAUUCACCAUGUUUUAUUUUGUUCUUGAUUAAGCUGCUUGUGUUAAUUGGCAUCUAAUUAGAAUUAAGCUUAAUUCUUUCAUAUGGCAUUGUCCAAGUUCCUUCCAAAUUGCUUGUAUAAUAUAACAAAAUCAAUACAAAUGCAUGUGGGAAUUAAUCAGUUUUUGGUUUUGGAAGAAGCUAAAAUUAAUAUUAUAGCAACCAUAUUUCACACUCUUUAAAUUGUUGAACAUUGUAUUUUCUUUUGAUAAUCAGAGAUUUAUUUUCUUAAUAAUUAGAAGGGGAAAACUUACAAAAUGGGAAAGCUACCCAAGCCAAUAGGCUUAUCCAAAUACACCCAAAAGAAUUGUUGUAAAUUGUUCAAUUUUCUGCUUCUUUUAGAUGUUUCAAUCGUAGAAGGCUAGUGUAAAUCUUGAGAUAGUGCUAUCCAAAGAAUUUGAAUGUCAAAAAUGCUACCCUAACUUCUGCAAGUUGAAAGAAAGAAACAAAUAAGGGUUUAAAGGAUUUAAAUGGGAAAAAAUAAAUAAAUAAAUUAUCUAACUUGAGAUAACGGAAGAAUUUGACAAUUACAUCCAUAAAUCUAACACUCGAAUUUUGAGUUAAAUUUUCAUCACCUUAUUUGCCAUACAAAAGAAAAAAGAAACUUAUGAGCUAAGCAAAAGAGGUAGUUGUCAUUUCAGAGGUGAUUUAUACUGUUAAUGUACACUAAAAAAAGGGGGGAGAAACAUAAUGAUUAGAAAAAAAUGGAUGUGGGUUUUGGGAAACAAGUUGAAGGAGAUGACUGAAAAUGCAAUAAUGAAAAAAAAAAAGAGAAAAAAAGAAAAAAAAAAAGAAAGAAAGAAAGCCCAAAAAUUACCAUUGUUUUGCGUGUAAAGUCAUACGGACCUGGCAUCCAAAGCUGCAGGGAAGGGUCCCUUUUUCACUUGUUCAAGUAUUUUCCAAAAACACCCCUUCUUCACUUCUUGUUACCUUCUUCUUCUUCUUCCUCUUCUUCUUCUUCUUCUUCCUGUGACUGUCUCUUUUCUUUUGUGGUAAAACUUUAAAAAGGCCUUAUCUGCCUUCUAGACUUGUUUUUUUUACCUUCUUGUUUGUAUUCUUAAGUUGUUUGUUUAUGACUGCAGCAUCUACUUUCAGUUGUUUCUUCUGUUGGCUUCCUCCUGUUUGUAUGUUUUUAAAUAUCAACUUCAAAUUUUGAGAAAGAUUGAGAUUUACCCUCUAUUUUACUUCCUUUUUU